GUCAGAUGAUUUGAAUCUCACCCUCCUGAUUUUGCUCUGUGAGGACCCAACGUUCUUGUAGCAUGUUAGAGUUCUGAUGGCA
Molecule: small nucleolar RNA, 82 nt
Organism: Trichosurus vulpecula (common brushtail)
Lineage: Eukaryota; Metazoa; Chordata; Mammalia; Diprotodontia; Phalangeridae
Product: small nucleolar RNA SNORD28
Exons: 1
Source: RefSeq, a predicted model, not a curated record